AGUGAACGCUGGCGGUAGGCCUAACACAUGCAAGUCGAACGGCAGCACAGUAAGAGCUUGCUCUUACGGGUGGCGAGUGGCGGACGGGUGAGGAAUACAUCGGAAUCUACUUUUUCGUGGGGGAUAACGUAGGGAAACUUACGCUAAUACCGCAUACGACCUACGGGUGAAAGCAGGGGAUCUUCGGACCUUGCGCGAUUGAAUGAGCCGAUGUCGGAUUAGCUAGUUGGCGGGGUAAAGGCCCACCAAGGCGACGAUCCGUAGCUGGUCUGAGAGGAUGAUCAGCCACACUGGAACUGAGACACGGUCUAGACUCCUACGGGAGGCAGCAGUGGGGAAUAUUGGACAAUGGGCGCAAGCCUGAUCCGGCCAUACCGCGUGGGUGAAGAAGGCCUUCGGGUUGUAAAGCCCUUUUGUUGGGAAAGAAAAGCAGCAGGUUAAUACCCCGCUGUUCUGACGGUACCCAAAGAAUAAGCACCGGCUAACUUCGUG
This 492-nucleotide ribosomal RNA is filed under the name uncultured bacterium. RNAcentral describes it as "partial 16S ribosomal RNA". It matches the Rfam family "Bacterial small subunit ribosomal RNA", at positions 29 to 507 of the family's 1533-position model. The record is from RNAcentral.